CGCGAGCUGCACACAUACGCGACCCCUGGAGAGGGAGGGAGCUUCUUGUAGGCCAUUGGAGCAGUCAGAAAGGAAUCGCAGCCGUCGUCCUACUCAUCAGCCACGGUUGUGGGAAGAAGCAUAGGAGACGGCGGAGGCCAUGACCACCGGAUCUGAGGAGGGGAAGCCGUGCGGCCAUCGCGCCGGGAUAGCACCUUAGCCUCACCGAGAUCGAGGGGAGGCGACCCGAUAGGAAGAGGAUGGCCGCCGGGGAGGCACGGAGAGCUCGGGCGGAUGCAUAGUUGUCGGGGUAGCUACCCAGGGGGCAGGGGGUGGACGAGUGAGGUGGAACCUGAUCCCGCCGGAUCCGGUGGUUGCUUGGCAGGGGCGUGGCCGGAGUUGAUGGCUGACCCUGGGGAUGACGGCGGCGGGGCGUGAGCCGUUGGCAGCGGUGGCUCGUAUCUACGGCGGCGUGAGAGGAGGGGUCCGGGAUGGGGACCAGGGGGCGGGGAGGCGAUGGUGUGCUCCUCGAUCCUGUUGCGUGGCGGCGUGGUAGACCGAAACCACCCGGAUCCGUCCCCGAGGAGGUUCUGGGGGGAAGGUGGUGGUAGGUAGCCAGCGCCGGCGCCAGGGGGACACCCAAGAUUUGGCCCAAACAAAUCAGUAGAUGUCUUCAUUCAACGACCCACAAGCCGACAGCCCACACAGCAUGCCGGCUACAGGCCUACAACUCAGCUGACCACCUUGUUACAUUGAUUCGUUCGACCCCAAUCCAUACCCCAACCUAACCUAGCGCGAGCGGCGGCGGCGGCGGUGUGGCCAGUACUACAAGCAGCGGCCAAGGGCCAACGGAGCCGGCGACGGGCGACCAGAUGAAGAAGGGUGUUAGCAUAUUUGCAUUGUGGGAAAGAGCUUCGAAGGCAAAGAAAACAUGUUCUACAUCUACUGAUCUACAUCAAAACCUUUGCUGGUAGCCUGGAUGGGGUUGGCCGGAUCCGUGUCCGAAGUGGACUCCUCGAGAAGGAGCAAUAGGGAGGAAGGGGGCGCACCAUGGCUAUGGGUUGUGGAAGAGCGCGAGGUGGUGGGGUGGCGCCGUGGAGGGAG
This is a long non-coding RNA of Triticum dicoccoides, 1083 nucleotides long. RefSeq lists it as uncharacterized. The transcript is spliced from 3 exons. NCBI's taxonomy places the organism in Eukaryota, Viridiplantae, Streptophyta, Magnoliopsida, Poales, Poaceae. The record is from RefSeq and is a predicted model, not a curated record.